CUGUCCCAUUUGGCAAAAAUUCUGAGGACGCUUAAAAUGCAGCCUUCAAAUGCGUCCUCCUUUUCCCCGAAUUCUGAGGAUGCACCGCGACCAUCCUUACUGGCCUUGCCUGCCAUAAGAUUUCCCAAGGUGCUUUGCUCGCUUUUUUUUAGUAGUUUAAGAAGAAGAAAGAAGGCGGAUUUUCAUCAAGACUAAAGGAAAGCAGCAGCAGCGCUGGCAGUAGUGCUGAGUACAGCUAUGCAACAGGGAGCAUACAGAGGAGUUGAUAAAACUCCGUGGGCAAAAUAACCACCUCUUUACCAGGGCCAAAAAUACUGCCACAGUCGGAUGGAGAACAAUCCUGCAAAAAACGGGCCUGGAGGGUGAAAUUGAGCCACAACAGGCCAAGAAAAAGUGGGACAACUUGGAAAAAAAAUACAAAGAAUGCAAAGAUCCAGGGACAGGGCAAGGGGUCAGUGGGAAGCCUACUGUUGCCACCUGGCCAUGGUUUAUCCUCAGGUUCUGUGUUGCUGUUAUUGUUAAAUUAAAUUAUUAAAUUGUUUAUAAAAGUUA
Molecule: long non-coding RNA, 552 nt
Organism: Fundulus heteroclitus (mummichog)
Lineage: Eukaryota; Metazoa; Chordata; Actinopteri; Cyprinodontiformes; Fundulidae
Exons: 4
Source: RefSeq, a predicted model, not a curated record